This 314-nucleotide long non-coding RNA is filed under the name Amazona collaria (yellow-billed parrot). RNAcentral's name for it is "lncRNA (ENSACOG00000006876.1)". The record is from RNAcentral. Lineage: Eukaryota; Metazoa; Chordata; Aves; Psittaciformes; Psittacidae.
CAGUUCAACAGCAUUCGACUCUCAGGUUUCAGUCUAAUGGCUCAAAGCUGUCACCUCCAAAAUGAGGAACAAGGGCUCACUGCUGCCUCUUCCAGGAUGCCUUCCCUGAUGUUACCUGAACUGGAGACUUGGUAUUUUGGCUUUCGCUAAUGAUGGUAACAAGUUCAGUUAACACAGGUAAACCUGCAGUGCUCCUGCGAUCAAUGGCUUACCAGGCAGAGAGGGAAGAGAUGGUCCCAAAGCUGACAAAGGAGAACCAGGGGCCAGCUCUCAAAACCAGAAAUCAUGCUUGCAAGAGUUGUCUACUAAUCUGA